This 335-nucleotide ribosomal RNA is filed under the name uncultured bacterium. RNAcentral describes it as "bacterial SSU rRNA". It matches the Rfam family "Bacterial small subunit ribosomal RNA", at positions 137 to 472 of the family's 1533-position model. The record is from RNAcentral.
ACAGGAAUAGCCCAUGGAAACGUGGAAUAAUACCUGAUAGUCUCUACGGAGUAAAUGAUGCCUUCGGGUGUCGCUAAAGGAUGGGCUCGCGGCCUAUCAGUUUGUUGGUGAGGUAAAGGCUCACCAAGACUACGACGGGUAGCUGGUCUGAGAGGACGAUCAGCAACACUGGAACUGAGACACGGUCCAGACACCUACGGGUGGCAGCAGUCGAGAAUCAUUCACAAUGGAGGAAACUCUGAUGGUGCAACGCCGCGUGGAGGAUGACGGCCCUAGGGUUGUAAACUCCUGUCAUUGGGGAGUAAGACUUAUGCGUUAAGAGCGUGUAAGUUUGA